UCAGACACUGCAGGAGAUCAGAGGAGAGUAGACAAUCCAGUGAUUCUCUCCCAGAGAAAUCCAGGAGAGCAGAAAGAGCCCCUCAAGUGAGAGCCAGAGCAGAUGAGGUGACCCCCCAGUGCACAGAAUCCACCAGGAUGUAGACUUCUUGCAGUUUUACCUCAAUACUCCAAAGGGAUGCUGCAUCAGCCAGAGUCUCAGGAGAAAACAGAUGGCUUACUCAAGGUGGUCAUUAAAGAAUUUAAUGAAGGGAUUAUCUUCUAAGGUGUCUGAAUGGCUAACAUAACAAAACUGAACUGGAAGGCAGAGAAAUAAAUAUUCAGCAGAGGUCAAAUUCACAGUGUAAGGAGGCUGACGGUGUUGCUCCAGUUCUGUGGGACUGACCCGUCUGGAUGGUUCCAACCUCACCCUCGGAGACCUCCCUGAGUAUGCUGGGUAAAUGCAUGCCUGUGAUCUGGGGCCGGAUGGGGCUGAGGAUGAAUCAUGGCAUUGAGACCUUGUUGGGGUACCUGUCUGUCUGUUUCUCUCCUGGAGGAGUAAAUAAAUAAACUUAAAAACA
Molecule: long non-coding RNA, 559 nt
Organism: Tupaia belangeri chinensis (Chinese tree shrew)
Lineage: Eukaryota; Metazoa; Chordata; Mammalia; Scandentia; Tupaiidae
Exons: 4
Source: RefSeq, a predicted model, not a curated record